CGCCCGGGGCCUGGUGACGGCCGCUGCUGGGCGGCUGCGAGCUGCGGCCCUGCUGCCCCACACAGGCCCAACCCCCCCCGCCCCGGGAAACGGCCCUUUGGCACCGGCAGAGCGGGGAGCAGCGUCUGCCGACAAUCCCGUACCAGAGAAACCAUCGCUCUAGCGAAGCGAGUCGUACCAGUGCAGGCCGCGGCGCUCACGUAGGCCUGUCAGCGAAACGCGGCCUUGUCCCCUUCCGGGGUGGCUGGGGUGACCCGGGGGUGCCAGCACAUUGCUUGGUGCCACUUGAUCCAGGACACAGGAUUUUCCCAACCUGAUGGGAAUUCAUUUGUGAGGAAAACAAAUAAUACGAGCAAAACUGCCUCGAUGAGGAUGUCAUAUGUUCCAAGGGCACCCUCAAAACCAGAUUUGCUCUUUACUAAUCAGCAUAGGAUGGAGCCCGAUGCCUGGCGAAGCAGUUUGCUACCCUCCAGAACACGCCCAGCUCCCUGAGACCGAGUACGCCCUACGCACCUGAACAGAUCCGAUGCAGCCAGGGGUUUUGCUGGUAUAAAACCCACUAAAAAGCCUCUACACUAGACCUACACGUAGCACACUUGACUUGAGAAUCACUAGCAACUGGUAAUUAAAGAAGUUUUGCUGGAUAGUUGUGAAAUUAUAGUACUACAUGAGGAAAAUAUACCAAGAGAGGGGCAACACCAGCAAGCCUGUCUGUCAACCAUUUUUCAGAAAGAUAACAAGAGAGACUCUCCGUUUAACGAAACCCACUCCUAUCACAUCGCAUCACACUCCACCAGUUGUCCCUCACUGCAGUACAGCCACCAAGGAGGCAGCUGGCUUUCUGACUGAUAAAGCACAUAGUCACGUAACACCGUGGAAUUAACCUGGAAAAGAUCCCCCGGUGUUUCAGAUUUGACUGGCUGUCCCGACCCGCGGGUAGCAGCAGCCGUUGGCGUAGAUAUCACUGGGUAACCAUAGCGGUGAAGGACUCACCACAUUUAGGCUUUGUUUAUGCAUGGUGUUGGAUCUGCUCAUUAAAACUUGACAUUAAGUUGUAUAACUACUAAAAUACCACUUCUGUACACAAAUUCAUGAGGAUUCCCUCUGUACAAGUUGUAAACCCUUCUCACGGUGACUUUUCCUAUCUAUGCAAACUAUCAGUCCAGUAUUUAAUCCAUCCCCCUCUCAACCACGCUUCUGCUGGUCGGAUCGGGGGAAUUCAACUCUUCCUUCUGCAACAACAACAUCCACUUUUACAACUAUUUUCAAUGAAUAUUGGAUGAAUGGUAAUGAGUGUGGGAUAGUCCACAGCAGUGUUUGGGCAAGCCAAGUUUUCAUCCACCUUUAGCAAGUCAAUCAUCCAAGACCUUUGCAAAUAAAUUUCAUGUAGUUAAACAGUAUUUCAGUUGUAUUUGUGUUUAACGUGACUGCAGCUAGCUUGGCCCCCGCUCAAGUUAUGGAUUGACCCUUUUGUUAUGUUACAGUGUGGUCUGAGAAGCAGCACGCUGUAUGGUAUGUAAUCCAUGUAAAAAUUAGUGCUUUUAUGUUAUUUGUCUUCUUUAGUGGUCAGCUGCAGGUUGUGGGUGCCAGGUCAUUGUGCUGGGAGCUGCCACCCAAAUUGCAGCCCCUCCUGCCUCCCCUCUCCUGAUCACAGCUGCAUCUGUCUUGGGGAUAUUCCGUAUUUUGGCGCUUGUGCAUUGCACCAGCUUACUAAACGUUUUGACAUUGGUGUAGGAGAAUGUAUCUGCUUUUCCUAGAUCCCUUUUUAGAAAUGUUUCUUGCCUGCCAACUCUGUGGAGUAAACUAUAAAGAGACUGAAAAAGCUCUAGACUUCUGGUUGUGGUCUCUACUCUGAAGGGCGACGGCACACAGAUACACAUGAGGAUAAAGACCCAUUCCAGCCAUAUCCACGCAACUGCUAUUUCUGCCACAGAAAGCAGUGGCAGGGCAUGAGGGGUGAUGGAAGGCGUGUUGUGAUCCAUUCUACUUCCCAGACCCUUUUGGGAAAACCAGCUGCUCACCAGCUGCUCCUCCGCUUGUAUCUGUGCACCUGAUCAUUUGUGCCUAAGUGUUUGACUUUGAGCUGGUCCGCAUUGAGUUUCAGUCCUCAAAA
Molecule: long non-coding RNA, 2113 nt
Organism: Grus americana (Whooping crane)
Lineage: Eukaryota; Metazoa; Chordata; Aves; Gruiformes; Gruidae
Exons: 4
Source: RefSeq, a predicted model, not a curated record